GGGGAUAGCCUUUGGAAACGAAGAAUAAUACCCUAUAAAACCAUAAAAGCACAUGCUAGAAUGGUCAAAGUGAUAGCGGUGUAAGAUGGACUUGCGUCUGAUUAGCUAGUUGGUGAGAUAAAAGCUCACCAAGGCAACGAUCAGUAGCCGGCUUGAGAGGGUGAUCGGCCACACUGGAACUGAGACACGGUCCAG
This 195-nucleotide ribosomal RNA is filed under the name uncultured Eubacteriales bacterium. RNAcentral's name for it is "uncultured Clostridiales bacterium partial 16S ribosomal RNA". It matches the Rfam family "Bacterial small subunit ribosomal RNA", at positions 139 to 334 of the family's 1533-position model. The record is from RNAcentral. Lineage: Bacteria; Bacillati; Bacillota; Clostridia; Eubacteriales.